RNAcentral lists this transfer RNA (72 nucleotides) under Cricetulus griseus (Chinese hamster). It matches the Rfam family "tRNA". Rfam says of the family: Transfer RNA (tRNA) molecules are approximately 80 nucleotides in length. Lineage: Eukaryota; Metazoa; Chordata; Mammalia; Rodentia; Cricetidae. The record is from Rfam by way of RNAcentral.
AGGGUUAUGGCUCAGAGGUAAGAGAGCUUGCCUAUCAUGCAUGAAGUCCUGGGUUCAACCCCCGUAACCUGC